Molecule: non-coding RNA, 556 nt
Organism: Taeniopygia guttata (zebra finch)
Lineage: Eukaryota; Metazoa; Chordata; Aves; Passeriformes; Estrildidae
Source: RefSeq, a predicted model, not a curated record
UUUGGGGGGUUUUGGGAAAAUUUGGGCGAAAUUUGGGCGAUUUUUGGCCAUUUUUUGGUGAUUUUAUAGUGAUUUUUGGGGGGUUUUUAGGGGCAUUAAAGGGUUAAAAAUGAGGGUUUGAGGUGCUCAGGUGAGUCUCAGGUGAGUCUCAGGUGAGCACACCUGGACACAGGUGAAAAAAUUUAGGGGGAAUUUUCAGGGAUUUUGGGCAAUUUUGGGCAAAUUUUGGCCAUUUUUGGGUGAUUUUAGAGGGAUUUUAGAGGGAUUUUUGGGGGUUUUUGGGGAGAUUUACGGUUAAAAAUGAGGAUUUGAGGUGCUCAGGUGAGUCUCAGGUGAGUCUCAGGUGAGCACACCUGGACACAGGUGAAAAAUUUUUGGGGUAAAUUUGGGCAAAUUUUGGCAAUUUUGGGUGAAUUUUCGGCAAUUUUGAGCGAUUUUAGGGCGGUUUUAUGGGGAUUUUCGGGGUUUUUUGGGAGAUUUAGGGUUAAAAAUGAGGAUUUGAGGUGCUCAGGUGAGUCUCAGCUGAGUCUCACCUGGGCAGGUGUGGCCAGGUAAA